RNAcentral lists this ribosomal RNA (468 nucleotides) under uncultured bacterium. Its description in RNAcentral is "partial 16S ribosomal RNA". It matches the Rfam family "Bacterial small subunit ribosomal RNA", at positions 28 to 507 of the family's 1533-position model. The record is from RNAcentral.
GACGAACGCUGGCGGCGGGCUUAACACAUGCAAGUCGAACGGAAAGGGCCUGCUGGUGUGGGGUGCUCGAGUGGCGAACGGGUGAGUAACAUGGGAGUAACCUGCCCUGGACGGUGGGAUAACUGCAGGAAACGGGGGCUAAUACAGGAGAGGAGCGCCGGCUGGAUGGAGGGGGAAGGAAAGUUUCGGCGGCUGGGUAUGGACUCGCGGCUGAUCAGCUUGUUGGUGGGGUAGUGGCUUACCAAGGCUUUGACGGGUAGCCGGCCUGAGAGGGUGACCGGCCCCAUUGGGCCUGAGCUACGGCCCAGCCUCCUACGGGAGGCAGAAGUGGGGAAUAUUGCACAAUGGGCGGAAGCCUGAUGCAGCCCCGCCGCGUGCGGUAUGUCGGCCUUCCGUUUGUAAUCCGCUUUCGCCUGUGCCGAAGCGUGGGUGACGGUACUCGGUUAAGAAGCCCCGGCUAACUACGUG